GAGGGGUGAACGGCCACAUUGGACUGAGACACGGCCCAAACUCCUACGGGAGGCAGCAG
Molecule: ribosomal RNA, 59 nt
Filed under: uncultured bacterium
Lineage: Bacteria
Description: partial 16S ribosomal RNA
Source: RNAcentral